This is a long non-coding RNA of Myotis davidii, 1948 nucleotides long. RefSeq lists it as uncharacterized. The record is from RefSeq and is a predicted model, not a curated record. The transcript has 3 exons. NCBI's taxonomy places the organism in Eukaryota, Metazoa, Chordata, Mammalia, Chiroptera, Vespertilionidae.
CGUUCUCACGGAGCCAUGCCCAGAGACAGCAGGCAGAACUGGACACAUGGACACACCAGCUGGUGAUGCUGCCCGAGGGAACGGGCUGGCUGGGGGCUGGGCAAGUCUGAGCUCUCUCCCGUCCUGUCUGUGAAACCCGAUGUCUGUAGGAGACCAGCUCCAACUCCGGGUUCUGUAUAGGGAGCCAGCAUGGCCGGGUGGGGAGCAGGGAUGCUGUUACCCGCAAGGCAGGCCUGCAGAUUUUGCAAAGAACUUUUCUUUCCCUUCAUAAUCUUUCAGGAUGGUCUCCAGCCUGCCUCUGUCUGUUUUUCAGAACCGAAGUACAUCCGUAUGUAUGUCAAUGUCUAGUCCAGUACUUACAGUACGAGGUUUUUAAAAACAAUAUUGAGAGAUUCUGUUUCGUCCUAAAAGCGUCUACAAUCUUGGUCCCGCACAUCUUUAUUUUACUUGCUUAUUUAUUUAUUUUUAGUUUCCAUAGUAUUUUCCCCCCAAGUAAAUGCUGCAGCAUUUACAGAGAACUGCCAGGGUGAAAUACCAGGAACCAGCAGUGGCAAAUGCCCACUUCCCAGCAUCUGUGGUCAUUCAUGGUCCAAAGGAAGACGGAGUUCCAUUUCCAAAAACAAAGAAAAACGCUAAGAUUGCAGGUUCCCAUCAAGGCUAAAGCCCUGCCAUUAAAUCACUCUGCAUGAAGACACAUUACAGCUUUUAAAAGGAGGGAGAAGGCAAACACAAAAAUACGGUGCAAAUACAAUUCACGACUCCCUUUUGUUAACGGGUUCUGCUUCCGCUCGACUCCUCGCUAAUUCUGUCUGGCUGUUUACACACGUUUUUAAUUUGUUCAAUUAUUUCACAGACCAGCAGAUUCACGGUCCGAUUUGUUUCAGGCAAAAUGGACGGUUACAAAAUAUCCCAGACUGUUCUCAGGUUGGAAAAAUGAGUGAACUGAACUUUCGAUGAGGCUACACGAUGGCUCUUUUGUUCUAAGUACAGAACGGAGUCCUUCCCGUGCAUGGAAACAUGGUCAGGAUUGUGUAACAGAUGUGAUAAGUGAGACAACGCCAACAAAACAGCCUGCAGAUCUGCCCACAAACACUGCUUGACGCUACUUGAACGGAGAAGCGAAGACAAUCUGGAGAUGCGUUUCUUUUCCAAAUAACAAUGUUGGGGAAACGAUGGCACAGAAAGGUCAAGUCGCUCACCCUGAAGCUGCACAGGGUGGAGAGACAAACCACCUGCCACAGGAAGAGGUGACAGACCAGCUCAGAGGGCCAGCUGUCUCCCGAAACACCAAACCUGGUUUACCGUUCCCUCGAGGGCCUGGGAAACAGACCACCUCCUCCCCCAGGACUGAGGCUCCCCGCCGCCUGCCCCCGGGUUUCUCAGAAGCCGGGUCUUUCCCUGGAUGCAGCAGGUCAUCCUAAGGACAUGCUGACAGACCAACAUGUGAUACAUGUUCAACCGUCAAAUACUUCACACCCUCAUUCUACGUGUGAAACUUUCCACUUUCCACUAAAAACGCUUAUUUGUCUACAUAACUCAGAGCACAGAUGCAGGGAGAGAGGUUCAGAGGCCCUGGGAGCUGCUGGAGUUGGUUUACAUACGCUGAACCUAGAGCACAAAAGCAUUACCUCAUGCAGGCUGGCCCGUGGCCUGCCCUGUCCAGGGUCCCACGUCUGACCUGAGGUCACUGAGGCUAUAAUUAGCAUGUGGUGUCCUCCCAAAGCCCUUAUCUUGUUCUUUCAACUGAUUUCCUAGGCUGUUAUCGUCCUCAAAGGCUCCAUUUGGACCCAGCUCUGCUUCUGUGGGUGUGGCUCCCUCCCGGGAGGGCUGGCUGCCCAGAGGCCGGUUCUGUGGUGACUGAACCCAGGAUGCUCCAGGCCAUCCCAUGCCCUGACUCCUUUCUAUUUUUAAUUGAAUCUUAAAAUUACUGAGCUUUAGAUUCCACAUA